AGCGAACGCUGGCGGCAGGCUUAACACAUGCAAGUCGAGCGGGCACUUUCGGGUGUCAGCGGCGGACGGGUGAGUAACGCGUGGGAACGGGCGCUCUGGUUCGGAAUAACUCAGGGAAACUUGAGCUAAUAGCGGAUACGACCUUUUGGGGAAAGGCUUGCUGCCGGAGGAUGGGGCCGCGUCUGAUUAGCUAGUUGGUGGGGUAACGGCUCACCAAGGCGACGAGCAGUAGCGGGUCUGGGAGGAUGAUCAGCCACACUGGGACUGAGACACGGCCCAGACUCCUACGGGAGGCAGCAGUGCGGAAUAUUGGACCAUGGGCGCAAGCCUGAUGCAGCCAGGCCUCGUGAGUGAUGAAGGCCUUAGGGUUGUAAAGCUCUUUUAUCCGGGACGAUAAUGACGGUACCGGAAGAAUAAGCCCCGGCUAACUUCGUG
Molecule: ribosomal RNA, 435 nt
Filed under: uncultured bacterium
Lineage: Bacteria
Description: partial 16S ribosomal RNA
Rfam family: Bacterial small subunit ribosomal RNA
Source: RNAcentral